CCUACGGGGGGCUGCAGUGGGGAAUAUUGGACAAUGGGGGCAACCCUGAUCCAGCCAUGCCGCGUGUGUGAAGAAGGCCCUCGGGUUGUAAAGCACUUUCAGUGAGGAAGAACGCCUGGUGGUUAAUACCCAUCAGGAAAGACAUCACUCACAGAAGAAGCACCGGCUAACUCCGUGCCAGCAGCCGCGGUAAUACGGAGGGUGCGAGCGUUAAUCGGAAUUACUGGGCGUAAAGCGCGCGUAGGUGGCUUGAUAACCCGGUUGUGAAAGCCCCGGGCUCAACCUGGGAACGGCAUCCGGAACUGUCAAGCUAGAGUGCAGGAGAGGAAGGUAGAAUUCCCGGUGUAGCGGUGAAAUGCGUAGAGAUCGGGAGGAAUACCAGUGGCGAAGGCGGCCUUCUGGACUGAAACUGACACUGAGGUGCGAAAGCGUGGGUAGCAAACAGGAUUAGAUACCCUUGUAGUC
RNAcentral lists this ribosomal RNA (465 nucleotides) under Vreelandella stevensii. RNAcentral's name for it is "partial 16S ribosomal RNA". It matches the Rfam family "Bacterial small subunit ribosomal RNA", at positions 338 to 795 of the family's 1533-position model. Lineage: Bacteria; Pseudomonadati; Pseudomonadota; Gammaproteobacteria; Oceanospirillales; Halomonadaceae. The record is from RNAcentral.